This is a long non-coding RNA of Eleginops maclovinus (Patagonian blennie), 998 nucleotides long. RefSeq lists it as uncharacterized. The record is from RefSeq and is a predicted model, not a curated record. The transcript is spliced from 3 exons. NCBI's taxonomy places the organism in Eukaryota, Metazoa, Chordata, Actinopteri, Perciformes, Eleginopidae.
ACAACACAGCGUCAUCAGCAUACACUCUGAACACAUGCAGCUCAGAAGAUUUACAGAGACUGAAGAGAAGAGGAUCCCAGUUUUGGCAGUAUUAGUGUUUGCAACAAAACCGUCCCACAAUGAUGAUAUCGGCCAAAGUUUUAGGAUGAGAAGCAGAGAAAUUAAGAAUGGAUCUGCCAUGCUUGGAAUAAAUGGGACUGACCCGUCGAUGAUGAGACUCUCGUACGCAGCCUUCUUGUCACACACAGGACAGAUCCAGGUGGGUUUCUUCUCGUUCAUCUGCAGGUACAGGGCAGCGUCAAAACACUGCAGGUGGGAGCAGGUCACCGCCCGGCACGGCACCGUCAAACGCAUCUUACCCAGCUGGAGGACAAAACACACAGGUGCCCAUGUCACUGAAAUCUGAUUGGGUACAGCAGAGGAGAGGCGGACCAGAGAGGUGAUGUUGAGAGGUCUUCCCGGUCUCUUCUGUUCCACACCAUUUUUUGGUGGCGGUGCGUAACCCUGCGGGAACAAAAGACUUUGUUAGCGUCUGUAUGGGGAUCAAUUCAGUUGGACUGACUUCUGGAGUACAAGAAAGCACUUACUGGCAGAGGGAAAAGUUUCCCGUUGACCUUUAUACACAGACUGUUUGGGUAGUUAUCCUCUUGAGUGCAACUCGUCUCUGACAAGCAAAACCUGACAACACGAAGAAAAAUUUAAGAGACAGAAUCUGUAUCCAGGAAAAAAGCACUCUUUAUGAGUUCAAAUUAUGUUCAGCAAAACCUUUGUAUUGUAGUGUUUUUGAACAAGUGUCUUCCCCUUUUAAAGUACAUGUUCAUUGUGUUUGCUAAACCUGUGAUGGAUCAUUAAUAAUGGGAGCACAGGUGGACAGUUUUUCUUAAUGCUGGUGCUAUUCUUUACAGAGCAGGGCAGCGUAUGGCUGAUAUAGAUCCUCUGAUACCAAAACAUCAUAAAUGAUACACAAUAUUGUUGAAUGUCAAUUGACAUUUAUAUAA